Molecule: long non-coding RNA, 3350 nt
Organism: Dermacentor silvarum
Lineage: Eukaryota; Metazoa; Arthropoda; Arachnida; Ixodida; Ixodidae
Exons: 2
Source: RefSeq, a predicted model, not a curated record
UUUCGUCACAAUCGAAAACAUCUUUGUUCUUUAUCUAUCUGUAUCUCUCUCUCUCUCUCUCUCUCUCUCCCUUUUAAAUGUGACCGGUGUUUAACAUGUUAUUGUGUUUCAAACCAUAAACUCUCGAUUUCAAAAAGCGUUUUGCGUACAUAACUGCGCGAAAGCAGAACCACCCGGUCUUUGCAGAGGCAUAUCUGCGGGUUGUGGAAUGCAGGCGUGAAACGGACCGCUCGCAGUUGCAGUCGUGCGAUUUGACCUUUAGUUUUCUCAGCAGUUUAUCCUUCAAUGUCUUGAUUCUUGAGAAACUUGGGGAGUGCCGAAUCAGCAGCAUGGGUUUAGCAGAGCAACUCAAGGCACUUUCACAUACCUGUAGUUUGAUGGUCGUGUGAGCCAGCACUAUACCGUGCGUCCCACGUAACUUGAGUCAAACAUUAAAAAUAUGCAAACUCCACGUAGCUGGACAGAACCAAAGUAAUGUUGUUUGCCGUCGCUUGGAGAUACUAAGAUUAUUUUUUUCAUUCCGCCUAAUUACAUAAUUAGUCUUAAUUAAUUAUUCAACGUCUCAAAUAUUAUAAUAAGACGAAAAGUGCCAAUGAGAAAUUUGUAGACCAACAUGGAAAACUCCCGAUACAGCUUUCUGUUGCUCAAUACGUGCUACAUAAACGUGUUUUUCCGAGCAUGAGAGAGCCCGCGAAUACGCGCUAAAUUGCCGCGCGACUGGCCGCUCGAGGCACUUUGCGUGUAUUCGCGUGGUUCUUUCAUGCUUGGAAAAACACUUUGGUUUUGGCACGUAACACACCAAAAUUUAAUUUUUGAUCUGGUGCGAUUUUGAUGCGACAUGCUACAACAGGACAUGCUCAAUGGGUUUUGCAUAAUUUACAGGUGCUAUGAACGAAUCGCGAUCGUCGGAAAAAUUUGUCGUAUGACUUCAUAUUGUCACGCAGCCUGAUCUAGCUUCAAACAGUGCGGCACUGCCGCUUUAAAUGUCAUUAAUGUCAUGUUUUAAAAGACAUUUCAUUUGUGAAUUCAUUCUUUGUCUUUCCAUGCAGUUCCAUAGGUUGCUUCUCUUCUCAAUUGAAUUGAACCGAAUCUGAAUUUUUUUCCGGACAAUAUGGAUUAAAUACAAUUGUCUAGGGAACCAGAAAAAAGGCAAUGAAAUGCCUAAUAACCACCCUUCAACCCAAAUUUUCCUUGACACAGUGCUCGAUAUGCACCGCAGCAAGGUAGUACGAAGAAACAAAAGAGCGUUUUUAGUGCCUAACAAGAUAAGAAAUCAAAACUAUAAAAUUUAUAACCGAGCAUUUUGAGAACAGCGAUUUGGAAAACGAGUAUUGGUACAUAUGAUAGUAUGUGCAGACGAAGUGCAUAGCGGAAGCAUAGCGGAAAUUUUGAAUUGUGUUAUGUUUCAUAUCAAGUAAGGCCAUCUCGAUCGAUUUUUAAUUUUAUUUCAUGUGUGUGUGUGUCUUUUGGAAACCGCAAUGGCGUUUUAUGGCCGUGUUGUUUGCUCGAAAGAAAUUUGAAAGUAGUGUAUUCAUUAGCUUCUUCUAUCACUUUUGAAUGGAAUGGCAAAAAUAGACAGACCUAUAGCUAUAUAUAGGUAUUGACGUCAUUUUUAUCACCACCCUUGAAAAUGACAGAUACCCGUACAACCUUCAAUUGAUCAAGGAUUGUGCCAGAAUUAAGUAUCGAGUUGCGUAUAUGCGAGAGCGGCCUAAUAAUAGUGUGGACCUAGCUUAUUCAGACGAGUUCAAUGUAGCGCAGCUUGCACAUGGACACACCGGAGGAAUAGGACACAUAUCUACAAAGCGCUAACUUCCAACAACGCUUUGCUUGGACACACACGCCUUGAAUGAGCUACUCAGCGAGCAAACUAACAAACACAAAUCGAUGGUUUUCUUAGCCUUCAUUGUCGCAAGUGCUGUGUUCCUCGAUGUUAAGAUACGGUUAUCUUAGGAAAAAAGCCAGUGUGAAUUGACCAAAGCGCCUAAUCAUUUUAUGUGCCUUCAUGAUGCGUGCGUUAGCAAGACGUCAUUGUCCCGGUCAAAGAAAGAAAUAGAUUUUUAUUGCGAUUAUAUGGACACUCCAAGCUGAUUUCUGCCGUCGUCGUCGCCGUCGCCGUAAGGUUCCGUAUGAAGUCCAUGGGCGAUAAAAUUGUCGCCGCGCGCCGUAUGCUGUAGUGAAAGCGCACGAGGGACGCGCGCUUUCACGGUGAACGAACGCACGGCGGAGAGCAAACGCGACGUCUUUCGUUGUGCGAAAGGCCGUGGGGGGAUGGGAGGGCGGGAGGGGAGGCGACGUUUAACUGCGGCACCAAACGCGUAUCUUGCGACCGGGCGCAAGGGGAACUGGCGACUGAAUCUCCCACACGAAAGCAGGAAAGCGAGAAGGCAGCGCGGGAGGGAGGGUGUGCGGCUUCUACUCUGCCAGCAACUGCAUACUUGUACUUUGCGCGGCUGUGGGCUGUCGCGCGCACCGCAUCUUGAAAGCGAUCUCCACACGGAUCCUACCUUUGUAUGCGCUGUGCUUUCGCCACUCAGUUUCCGUUGAAGCGAUAGACCGCACGAACCUUCGGUCGCUGCUGCAACCGCGCCAGCGUUUUGACAGUGGUUGUCUGCGGUCAUCGAGUGUGAUCUAUUCAUGUUUGCUUGUGCGCGCUGACACCAUGCUUGUUAUGUGUCCAAGUUUAUGCAGCCGAUAACACUACUAUCCUUACUCCGUAUAGCUCUGUACUAAAAUUGAUGCUUCGGCUUUCGGGCGAUACUGCGACUUUUUUUACGCAUGCGUUAGAAGUACACCGCAAUAAUAGUGACAUUGUUUGCAAUGUGCACUUAUUAUUAACGUUUGUUUGUUAUCCCUAAGUCUGAAUACGUGUUCCGUGAUGUGACGACCACCUGUGAUUGCGCGGGGAACGCUGUUAUGGGUGUGCGCACACAUCACUUGUUCUUCCGUUUCUUUUCCAUUUCCUUCUUUCUUUUCUGCUCCCUUCCCCUCCCCCAGUGUCGGGUAGCAAACAAGGUGCAACCUGGUCGACUCCCUGCCUUUCUUUUCUUUCUCUCUGUGACGUCACGUGUGGGAUGUACAGUCGAGUCAAAAGUUUACAGAUUACGGAACCUGAGAAAAGGCUGAAUAAAGAUGUUUAUUCUCUCUCUCCACAGCCUGAGCACGCAGCCUAGUAUUUGGAUGUCCACCCUGUACUAUAGUAUAUAUGCAAACAACAUAGCAUUGUUUUACUGACUAUGGUCACGAACUGGUCGGCAAUUCAACGUUUCUCAGAUCGCACGGUCCGGACAACUUUUAAAGCCGACUGUGCGAGUGUCGCUGUUUAUCAGAAAUAAAACAUUUUUGAAAGU